UACGAAGGGGGCUAGCGUUGCUCGGAAUCACUGGGCGUAAAGGGUGCGUAGGCGGGUCUUUAAGUCAGGGGUGAAAUCCUGGAGCUCAACUCCAGAACUGCCUUUGAUACUGAAGAUCUUGAGUUCGGGAGAGGUGAGUGGAACUGCGAGUGUAGAGGUGAAAUUCGUAGAUAUUCGCAAGAACACCAGUGGCGAAGGCGGCUCACUGGCCCGAUACUGACGCUGAGGCACGAAAGCGUGGGGAGCAAAAGGG
RNAcentral lists this ribosomal RNA (253 nucleotides) under uncultured bacterium. RNAcentral's name for it is "partial 16S ribosomal RNA". It matches the Rfam family "Bacterial small subunit ribosomal RNA", at positions 524 to 776 of the family's 1533-position model. The record is from RNAcentral.